GCAGACUCACUCUGUACCUGGCUGCAGACCCCCAGCGAGUGCUUCUUUCAUCUGCCAGAGAAGCAUACUGGGGUGCUCUGGCCACCUCGACCUGUUGGGUGAUGCAGCUUUCCCAGGACACAAGG
This is a small nucleolar RNA of Oryctolagus cuniculus (rabbit), 125 nucleotides long. Lineage: Eukaryota; Metazoa; Chordata; Mammalia; Lagomorpha; Leporidae. The record is from Ensembl.